This is a non-coding RNA of Podarcis lilfordi (Lilford's wall lizard), 132 nucleotides long. NCBI's taxonomy places the organism in Eukaryota, Metazoa, Chordata, Lepidosauria, Squamata, Lacertidae. The record is from the annotation of a GenBank genome assembly.
GUCUUUUGCUGCCACGCUGCCCUGUAGACCCUGAUUCACCCGGCAUCAAUAAAAUAAAAUAAAAUAUAACGAAAAAUAUUUUUGCUGCCAGGUGAAUCAGGUGUUUUGCAGGGUAGUGCAGUUGCAAAAGAU